GACAGAGGGGGCAAGCGUUGCUCGGAAUUACUGGGCGUAAAGGGCGCGUAGGCGGGAUGGCAAGUCGGUCGUGAAAUCCCUCGGCUCAACUGAGGAUCGUCGAUCGAUACUGCCGUUCUUGAGGAUUGCAGAGGAGACUGGAAUUCCCGGUGUAGCGGUGAAAUGUGUAGAGAUCGGGAGGAACACCGGUGGCGAAGGCGGAUCUCUGGGCCUUACCUGACGCUCAGGCGCGAAAGCUAGGGGAGCGAACUGG
RNAcentral lists this ribosomal RNA (253 nucleotides) under uncultured bacterium. RNAcentral describes it as "partial 16S ribosomal RNA". It matches the Rfam family "Bacterial small subunit ribosomal RNA", at positions 524 to 776 of the family's 1533-position model. The record is from RNAcentral.